Molecule: ribosomal RNA, 253 nt
Filed under: uncultured bacterium
Lineage: Bacteria
Description: partial 16S ribosomal RNA
Rfam family: Bacterial small subunit ribosomal RNA
Source: RNAcentral
UACGGAGGGUGCAAGCGUUAAUCGGAAUUACUGGGCGUAAAGCGCACGCAGGUGGCUGAGUCAGUCGAUUGUGAAAGCCCUGGGCUUAACCUGGGAAUUGCAGUCGAUACUACUCGGCUCGAGUAUGGGAGAGGGCAGUGGAAUUCCCGGUGUAGCGGUGAAAUGCGUAGAUAUCGGGAGGAACAUCAGUGGCGAAGGCGGCUGCCUGGCCCAAUACUGACACUCAGGUGCGACAGCGUGGGGAGCAAACAGG